This 492-nucleotide ribosomal RNA is filed under the name uncultured bacterium. Its description in RNAcentral is "partial 16S ribosomal RNA". It matches the Rfam family "Bacterial small subunit ribosomal RNA", at positions 29 to 507 of the family's 1533-position model. The record is from RNAcentral.
AGUGAACGCUGGCGGUAGGCCUAAUACAUGCAAGUCGAGCGGCAGCACAGUAAGCGCUUUCCUCUACGGUUGGCGGGUGGCGGAUGGGUGACGCAUACAUCGGCAUCUUCUUUUUCGUGGGGGAUAACGGAGGGCAACUUCCGCUAAUACCGCAUACGUCCUACGGCUUAAUUCAGUGGUUCUUCGCACUUUUCGCGACUGAUUGAGCCGAUGUCGCAUUAGAUAGUUGGUGAGGUAAAGUCCCACCAAGGCAACGAAGCGUAGCUGACCUGAGAGGAUGAUCGGCCACAAUGGAACUGAGACACGGUCCAGACUCCUACGGGAGGCAGCAGUAGGGAAUAUUCCGCAAUGGGCGAAAGCCUGACGGAGCAACGCCGCGUGAGUGAUGAAGGUCUUCGGAUCGUAAAACUCUGUUAUUAGGGAAGAACAAAUGUGUAAGUAACUAUGCACGUCUUGACGGUACCUAAUCAGAAAGCAACGGCUAACUACGUG